UACGGAGGAUCCGAGCGUUAUCCGGAUUUAUUGGGUUUAAAGGGUGCGCAGGCGGGAGAUUAAGUCGGCGGUGAAAUUUUGCAGCUCAACUGUAAAAGUGCCUUCGAUACUGGUUUCCUUGAGUGUGGAUGAAGUAGGCGGAAUUUGUGGUGUAGCGGUGAAAUGCUUAGAUAUCACGAGGAACUCCGAUUGCGCAGGCAGCUUACUAAACCACUACUGACGCUGAGGCACGAAAGCGUGGGGAUCGAACAGGAUUAGAUACCCGCGUAGU
This 271-nucleotide ribosomal RNA is filed under the name uncultured prokaryote. RNAcentral's name for it is "partial 16S ribosomal RNA". It matches the Rfam family "Bacterial small subunit ribosomal RNA", at positions 524 to 794 of the family's 1533-position model. The record is from RNAcentral.